GGUUAAGCGAACAAGCGUACACGGUGGAUGCCCUGGCAGUCAGAGGCGAUGAAGGACGUGCUAAUCUGCGAAAAGCGCCGGUAAGGUGAUAUGAACCGUUAUAACCGGCGAUGUCCGAAUGGGGAAACCCGGUGCACUUCGGUGCAUCAUCGUUAGCUGAAUACAUAGGCUAACGAAGCGAACCGGGGGAACUGAAACAUCUAAGUACCCCGAGGAAAAGAAAUCAACCGAGAUUCCCCCAGUAGCGGCGAGCGAACGGGGAACAGCCCAGAGCCUGAAUCAGCUUGUGUGUCAGUGGAACGGUCUGGAAAGGCCGGCGAUACAGGGUGACAGCCCCGUACACGAAGGCACACAGGCUGUGAGCUCGAUGAGUAGGGCGGGACACGUGAUAUCCUGUCUGAAGAUGGGGGGACCAUCCUCCAAGGCUAAAUACUCCUGACUGACCGAUAGUGAACCAGUACCGUGAGGGAAAGGCGAAAAGAACCCCGGCGAGGGGAGUGAAACAGAACCUGAAACCGUGUACGUACAAGCAGUGGGAGCCUUCGUAAGAGGGUGACUGCGUACCUUUUGUAUAAUGGGUCAGCGACUUAUAUUCUGUAGCAAGGUUAACCGUAUAGGGGAGCCGAAGGGAAACCGAGUCUUAAUUGGGCGUUAAGUUGCAGGGUAUAGACCCGAAACCCGGUGAUCUAGCCAUGGGCAGGUUGAAGGUUGGGUAACACUAACUGGAGGACCGAACCGACUAAUGUUGAAAAAUUAGCGGAUGACCUGUGGCUGGGGGUGAAAGGCCAAUCAAACCGGGAGAUAGCUGGUUCUCCCCGAAAGCUAUUUAGGUAGCGCCUCGUGAACUCAUCUCCGGGGGUAGAGCACUGUUUCGGCUAGGGGGCCAUCCCGGCUUACCAACCCGAUGCAAACUGCGAAUACCGGAGAAUGUUAUCACGGGAGACACACGGCGGGUGCUAACGUCCGUCGUGAAGAGGGAAACAACCCAGACCGCCAGCUAAGGUCCCAAAGUCAUGGUUAAGUGGGAAACGAUGUGGGAAGGCCCAGACAGCCAGGAUGUUGGCUUAGAAGCAGCCAUCAUUUAAAGAAAGCGUAAUAGCUCACUGGUCGAGUCGGCCUGCGCGGAAGAUGUAACGGGGCUAAACCAUGCACCGAAGCUGCGGCAGCGACACUAUGUGUUGUUGGGUAGGGGAGCGUUCUGUAAGCCUGCGAAGGUGUGCUGUGAGGCAUGCUGGAGGUAUCAGAAGUGCGAAUGCUGACAUAAGUAACGAUAAAGCGGGUGAAAAGCCCGCUCGCCGGAAGACCAAGGGUUCCUGUCCAACGUUAAUCGGGGCAGGGUGAGUCGACCCCUAAGGCGAGGCCGAAAGGCGUAGUCGAUGGGAAACAGGUUAAUAUUCCUGUACUUGGUGUUACUGCGAAGGGGGGACGGAGAAGGCUAUGUCGGCCGGGCGACGGUUGUCCCGGUUUAAGCGUGUAGGCUGACUUUCCAGGCAAAUCCGGAAGGUUAAGGCUGAGGCGUGAUGACGAGGCACCACGGUGCUGAAGUGACAAAUGCCCUGCUUCCAGGAAAAGCCUCUAAGCAUCAGGUAACAUCAAAUCGUACCCCAAACCGACACAGGUGGUCAGGUAGAGAAUACCAAGGCGCUUGAGAGAACUCGGGUGAAGGAACUAGGCAAAAUGGUGCCGUAACUUCGGGAGAAGGCACGCUGACAUGUAGGUGAAGCCCCUGCGGGUGGAGCUGAAGUCAGUCGAAGAUACCAGCUGGCUGCAACUGUUUAUUAAAAACACAGCACUGUGCAAACACGAAAGUGGACGUAUACGGUGUGACGCCUGCCCGGUGCCGGAAGGUUAAUUGAUGGGGUUAUCGCAAGAGAAGCUCCUGAUCGAAGCCCCGGUAAACGGCGGCCGUAACUAUAACGGUCCUAAGGUAGCGAAAUUCCUUGUCGGGUAAGUUCCGACCUGCACGAAUGGCGUAAUGAUGGCCAGGCUGUCUCCACCCGAGACUCAGUGAAAUUGAACUCGCUGUGAAGAUGCAGUGUACCCGCGGCAAGACGGAAAGACCCCGUGAACCUUUACUACAGCUUGACACUGAACAUUGAGCCUUGAUGUGUAGGAUAGGUGGGAGGCUUUGAAGCGUGGACGCCAGUCUGCGUGGAGCCAACCUUGAAAUACCACCCUUUAAUGUUUGAUGUUCUAACCUGGCGCCGUGAUCCGGCGUGGGGACAGUGUCUGGUGGGUAGUUUGACUGGGGCGGUCUCCUCCCAAAGUGUAACGGAGGAGCACGAAGGUCAGCUAAUCCUGGUCGGACAUCAGGAGGUUAGUGCAAUGGCAUAAGCUGGCUUGACUGCGAGAGUGACGGCUCGAGCAGGUGCGAAAGCAGGUCAUAGUGAUCCGGUGGUUCUGUAUGGAAGGGCCAUCGCUCAACGGAUAAAAGGUACUCCGGGGAUAACAGGCUGAUACCGCCCAAGAGUUCAUAUCGACGGCGGUGUUUGGCACCUCGAUGUCGGCUCAUCACAUCCUGGGGCUGAAGUAGGUCCCAAGGGUAUGGCUGUUCGCCAUUUAAAGUGGUACGCGAGCUGGGUUUAGAACGUCGUGAGACAGUUCGGUCCCUAUCUGCCGUGGGCGCUGGAGAAUUGAGGGGGGCUGCUCCCAGUACGAGAGGACCGGAGUGGACGCAUCACUGGUGUUCGGGUUGUCAUGCCAAUGGCACUGCCCGGUAGCUAAAUGCGGAAGAGAUAAGUGCUGAAAGCAUCUAAGCACGAAACUUGCCCCGAGAUGAGUUCUCCCUGAGACUGUAAGUCUCCUGAAGGAACGUUGAAGACGACGACGUUGAUAGGCCGGGUGUGUAAGCGCAGCGAUGCGUUGAGCUAACCGGUACUAAUGAACCGUGAGGCUUAACCUU
RNAcentral lists this ribosomal RNA (2902 nucleotides) under Cronobacter sakazakii. Its description in RNAcentral is "23S ribosomal RNA". It matches the Rfam family "Bacterial large subunit ribosomal RNA". Lineage: Bacteria; Pseudomonadati; Pseudomonadota; Gammaproteobacteria; Enterobacterales; Enterobacteriaceae. The record is from RNAcentral.